AUUGAACGCUGGCGGCAUGCUUUACACAUGCAAGUCGAACGGCAGCGCGGGCUUCGGCCUGGCGGCGAGUGGCGAACGGGUGAGUAAUGCAUAGGAACGUGCCCAGUAGUGGGGGAUAGCCCGGCGAAAGCCGGAUUAAUACCGCAUACGACCUGAGGGUGAAAGCGGGGGACCGAAAGGCCUCGCGCUAUUGGAGCGGCCGAUGUCGGAUUAGCUAGUUGGUGGGGUAAAGGCUUACCAAGGCGACGAUCCGUAGCUGGUCUGAGAGGACGACCAGCCACACUGGGACUGAGACACGGCCCAGACUCCUACGGGAGGCAGCAGUGGGGAAUUUUGGACAAUGGGGGCAACCCUGAUCCAGCCAUGCCGCGUGCGGGAAGAAGGCCUUCGGGUUGUAAACCGCUUUUGUUCGGGAAGAAAUCCUCUGGGCUAAUACCCCGGGGGGAUGACGGUACCGGAAGAAUAAGCACCGGCUAACUACGUG
Molecule: ribosomal RNA, 484 nt
Filed under: uncultured bacterium
Lineage: Bacteria
Description: partial 16S ribosomal RNA
Rfam family: Bacterial small subunit ribosomal RNA
Source: RNAcentral